RNAcentral lists this long non-coding RNA (698 nucleotides) under Gossypium barbadense (sea-island cotton). RNAcentral describes it as "long non-coding RNA (GBAR_LNC013158)". The record is from RNAcentral. Lineage: Eukaryota; Viridiplantae; Streptophyta; Magnoliopsida; Malvales; Malvaceae.
GCCGCUGCUCGUGCUGCUGCCGUCGCCUCCGCCGGUGGUUCGCCGAUGGCCGGCUUACUUCUUUCUUCCCUUUUUCUUCUUUGCUUUCCUCUUUUCGUGGGUGUUCUUCUUUUUUUUUUUUUUGAAAUUUUUUUUCUUUGCUUUUGGUUGCUUGUGGAUUGUUGAGUUUGGUUUGUUUCUUUGUGAUGAUGAAUGAGGAAUGUGGAUGGGGACAUGGGGAGAAUCGGCUGAAUCUUAGAAAUUUCAAAGCUUUUUUCUCUGUAUUUUUUUUUGCUUGACUCCCCCCUCCUUUCUCUUCAAUCCUUUCCUUUUAAUCCCAAUUUUGUCCUCUUUCUUCUUUGAUUUCAGGUGGGAGAGGAGCCGUGAUGGCCUAGGGGGUUGCUGGAGUAGCUCGGCUGGGGAGGGGUAGGCUCGCUGUUGCUGCUGCGAUUAGACAAGUCCAGGAGGACUAAAUUACAUAGGAUGCAAAGCUUUUGGGGCAAAAGUGUAAUUUUAGCAAAAAUAUGGGCUAAAAUGUAAUUUAUUAAGAGUUUAGGGGUAAAAGUGAAAUUUUGAGAAAGUUUAAGGGUUUAAAUGUAAUUUUAGAAAAUUUUGUCAAAAUGUAAAUUUUACAAAGGUUUGGGGUCAAAAUGUAAAUUUUGAAAAGUACAGGGGUCAAAAUGCAAUUUUUUUAAAAAAAAUUUAACACGAAAUUAUUC